RNAcentral lists this long non-coding RNA (394 nucleotides) under Lathyrus oleraceus (garden pea). RNAcentral's name for it is "Pisum sativum (pea) long non-coding RNA (PSAT_LNC030804)". The record is from RNAcentral. Lineage: Eukaryota; Viridiplantae; Streptophyta; Magnoliopsida; Fabales; Fabaceae.
ACACCAUAGCUUAAUAACCAAUCUAUCUUAAUGCUACACCAGAACUUAAUUCGAAACAUCACAGGAAAAAGAUUGCAUCUAAACCAAAACCAAGUAAAGUACCAACAAGGACUAUCAGUAAUCAUGGAUAUUUACUCUGAAAAUGUGAUACAUACAAAGUUCAUUAACAACAACCACAAUGUGACUCUUUAGGACUAUCAGUAAUCAUGGAUAUUUACUCUGAAAAUGUGAUACAUACAAAGUUCAUUAACAACAACCACAAUGUGACUCUUUGGACAUAAGUUAAUCUCGACAAUGGCAGGGAAGGGAACAAUCCACAACAUCAUCAGACUUAAACCCGCCACACAAAAACAAACACUAGCAUAAUGUAAUUGUUACGGGAGAACGGUCAUAU